CCCUUAGAUGUUCCGGGCUGCACGCGCGCUACACUGAUGCAUGCAACGAGUUUUCGACCUUGCCUGAAAAGGUUGGGUAAUCUGUUUAACAUGUGUCGUGAUGGGGAUAGACCAUUGCAAUUAUUGAUCUUCAACGAGGAAUUCCUAGUAAGCGCGAGUCAUCAGCUCGUGCUGAUUAUGUCCCUGCCCUUUGUACACACCGCCCGUCGCUCCUACCGAUUGGGUGAUCCGGUGAAUGAUUCGGACCAGCGUGCUGCUCAGAUCCUGCGCAGUGUGCUGGGAAGUCUAGUGAACCUUAUCACUUAGAGGAAGGAGAAGUCGUAACA
This 326-nucleotide ribosomal RNA is filed under the name uncultured eukaryote. Its description in RNAcentral is "partial 18S ribosomal RNA". It matches the Rfam family "Eukaryotic small subunit ribosomal RNA", at positions 1470 to 1796 of the family's 1831-position model. The record is from RNAcentral.